This 249-nucleotide long non-coding RNA is filed under the name Homo sapiens (human). RNAcentral describes it as "non-protein coding lnc-NETO1-5:1". The record is from RNAcentral. Lineage: Eukaryota; Metazoa; Chordata; Mammalia; Primates; Hominidae.
UUUCUCCAUGUUGGUCAGGCUGGUCUUGAACUCCCAACCUCAGUUCAUCCGCCUACCUCAACCUCCCAAAGUGCUGGGGUUACAGGCGUGAGCCACCGCACCUGGCCGGUAGUUCAUUUUCUUUUAACGUCCAGUACCAUUUCAUCAUAUGAGUAAGUCAUAUUUUGUUUAUUUCAUUCUGUAAUGAUGGACUCUUGAGUUGUUUCUAGUUUGGGAUUAUUAUGCAUAAAUGUGCCAUAAAUAUUGUUC